UCUCUCUCUCUCUCUCUCUCUCGGCGAUUCAGAAACCCCUGCUUUCUCUCUCAAAUGAGAUCUAGGGUUUCUAUAUGUGAUUCAAGAUCUGGCUAUCACAGCUUUCUCUCUCAAACGAGAUCUAGGGUUUCUACAUGCGCUUCAAGAUCUGGCUUUCACAGUUCGGUUCGACACUUCCAUUGGAACCAAAAAAUCUGAGCCAAAUCAGGCCUCUGGAGCGUACAUCUUCCGUCCUCUCAAACGAGAUCUAGGGUUUCUACAUACGCUUCAAGAUCUGGCUUUCACAGUUCGGUUCAACACUUCCAUGGAACCAAAAAAUCUGAGCCAAAUCAGGCCUCUGUAACGUACAUCUUCCGUCCUCUCAAACGAGAUCUAGGGUUUCUACAUGCGCUUCAAGAUCUGGCUUUCACAGUUCGGUUCGACACUUCCAUGGAACCAAAAAAUCUGAGCCAAAUCAGGCCUCUGGAGCGUACAUCUUCCGUCCUAAUGGAAAGUUUCCAAUAAAACCUGCAGGACAGAAAGCUUUUUGAGUUAUAAAAGGUAAAGCCGAAAAGUGAAGCCGUGAAGGUGAGGCUGAGGGUGUAGAAGAUACCAUCCUUAUCUGAUCUACCUUUUUGUUUGGUAUUUGUGUAGUUUAUGUUUAUACGCUGUUAAAUUUCAUGUGUUAUAAGUUGUUUUAAACAGUUUUGCUACUGUUUUUGGAUGUAUUUAUGUUAGAUCUGCGUAAAAUUUUCAGAUC
Molecule: long non-coding RNA, 739 nt
Organism: Helianthus annuus (common sunflower)
Lineage: Eukaryota; Viridiplantae; Streptophyta; Magnoliopsida; Asterales; Asteraceae
Exons: 5
Source: RefSeq, a predicted model, not a curated record